UCCAGCCUGCCCAGUGACCAUGUGUUCAACGGCCGCAGUAUUUUGACUGUGCGAAGGUAGCGUAAUCACUUGUCUUUUAAAUGGAGACCUGUAUGAACGGUAAAACGAGGGCUUAACUGUCUCCUUUUUCCAGUCAGUGAAAUUGAUCUCCCCGUGCAGAAGCGGGGAUACAAACAUAAGACGAGAAGACCCUAUGGAGCUUUAGACGCCAGGGCAGCCCAUGUUAAACACUCCUGAUUAAAGGACUAAACUGAUUGAACCCUGCUCCCCUGUCUUUGGUUGGGGCGACCGUGAGGAAAUUAAAGAACCCUCCACGUGGAAUGGGAGCAGCUAUACCCCUUUGAAGAUUUUUUCUUCUUUGCCUCCCACAACUAAGAGCCACAGUUCUAAGCAACAAAAUAUUUGACCAAUAGAGAUCCGGCAAAGCCGAUUAACGAACCGAGUUACCCUAGGGAUAACAGCGCAAUCCCCUUCUAGAGCCCAUAUCGACAAGGGGGUUUACGACCUCGAUGUUGGAUCAGGACAUCCUAACGGCGCAACCGCUGUUGAGGGUU
RNAcentral lists this ribosomal RNA (554 nucleotides) under Psettodes bennettii (spiny turbot). RNAcentral describes it as "partial 16S ribosomal RNA". It matches the Rfam family "Bacterial large subunit ribosomal RNA", at positions 1853 to 2573 of the family's 2925-position model. The record is from RNAcentral. Lineage: Eukaryota; Metazoa; Chordata; Actinopteri; Pleuronectiformes; Psettodidae.